This 574-nucleotide ribosomal RNA is filed under the name uncultured fungus. RNAcentral describes it as "eukaryotic LSU rRNA". It matches the Rfam family "Eukaryotic large subunit ribosomal RNA", at positions 37 to 654 of the family's 3401-position model. Lineage: Eukaryota; Fungi. The record is from RNAcentral.
AGCAUAUUAAUAAGCGGAGGAAAAGAAACUAACAAGGAUUCCCCUAGUAACGGCGAGUGAAGCGGGAACAGCUCAAAUUUGAAAUCUCCCUCCAGGGCGAAUUGUAGUUUAGAGAAGUAUUUUCUGGGGUAGCUCGGGCAUAGGUCCUCUGGAAAGAGGCGUCAUAGAGGGUGAGAACCCCGUCUGUGGUCCGAAGUCUGCUUCUUUGUGAUAUACUUUCAAAGAGUCGAGUUGUUUGGGAUUGCAGCUCAAAAUGGGUGGUAAAUACCAUCUAAAGCUAAAUAUUGGCGAGAGACCGAUAGCGAACAAGUACCGUGAGGGAAAGAUGAAAAGAACUUUGAAAAGAGAGUUAAACAGUACGUGAAAUUGUCAAAAGGGAAACGCUUGAAAUCAGUGUUGCGACCAGUAAUCAGCCGUUCUUCGAAUGGUGGCACUUGCUGGAAGCAGGUCAGCAUCAGUUUGCUCUGGAGUAAAAAGCUGCGGCACUACCCUCGGGUGGAUUUGCAGUCAUGCUCUGGAGUGGACUGAGGUCUGCUAACAGGAUGCUGACAAAAUGGUUUUAAACGACCCGUCU